AUUGAACGCUGGCGGCAGGCCUAACACAUGCAAGUCGAACGAGUGGCGGACGGGUGAGUAAUGUCUGGGAAACUGCCCGAUGGAGGGGGAUAACUACUGGCAACGGUAGCUAAUACCUAAUACCAUCGGAUGUGACCAGAGGGGAUUUGCUAGUAGGUGGGGUAAAGGCUCACGUAGGCGACGAUGCCUAGCUGGUCUGAGAGGAUGACCAGCAAAACUGGAACGGAGAAGCGGUCAUAAAUCCGACGGGAGGCAGCAGUGGGAAAUAUGGCACAAUGGGCGCAAGGCUGAUGCAGCCAUGCCGAGUGGAUGAAGAAGGCCUUCGGGUUGUAAAGUACUUUCAGCGGGGAGGCGUUACCCGCAGAAGAAGCACCGGCUAACUCCGUGCCAGCCGCCGCGGUAAUUC
This 406-nucleotide ribosomal RNA is filed under the name uncultured bacterium. RNAcentral describes it as "partial 16S ribosomal RNA". It matches the Rfam family "Bacterial small subunit ribosomal RNA", at positions 29 to 526 of the family's 1533-position model. The record is from RNAcentral.